CGCCAUUUUCAAAAAAGAUGAGAAGAACAGAAGAAGAUGAACUGUGUCCGUCAUUUUAUACCCCGUGGGGCUCCUCCUCCACUGCUCUCAUAGGCCUAAAGUCUCUCCCAGUCUUGUAAGUGAUUCCUCUAUUCUUGUUCUCAUUAUAGGUACAUCAGAGCUGAAGCUGUUGAAGACUGAGCCAGGAUAUUUCAAGUUGUAUGGUAGUGUGUGUAUUAUAUCAUAUUAUACUGGCUCUAUUGUUUUAUGUAGGACCACCAGUCAGUAUUUCAAUGAUCCAUUCAUUCAUUAUUGGUACGUGUGUAUUAUUAUUAUGUACACUCUAUGUUUGUAGGUAAUAAAGUCCUGCCCUAAUCUUUAUACAUGAUAUUACUCAGUGUAUUGUUUCAAGUCUCAUCUAUUGUACAGUAAAUAUGUGUUGUUCUUGUAUUAUUAUCUAUUUUACAGGUUAUAUUCAUGUACUUGAUUUAUUCAGGAUAUUUUAAGUAUUGUCCAGUAUAUGAUUAUAUUAUUAUUCGUUUUACAGGUGAUAAAGACACUGAAUUAAGUCUUUAUGUGGUAGUUAUGUUGGUUCGGUAACAAAUGGAAUAUUGUGACAUGUAUUUUUGUUUAUUUUUAGGAUACUAUCAGUAUUCUAAAGAUAGAACUACCUAAAGCGCAAAUCAAGUGUAUGGUAUAGUCUGGCAUUUUGUUAACAUUCUUUUCUUUCUCAUGUUUUGUUAUUAAUUAAUUAUUAUUUUUAUGAGGGUAUUCUUUUACUGUCAGUAUCUUAUUGGUAAUACGUGAUGAUUUAUUUUAUAUCUUUUUUAUUUUCAGGUUGAUGUUCAUUACUAGUAUCAAUGGAUCAGAGGCAGUUCUCUCUAUUGGUUAAUGAUAUCCACACACUAUCAUGUACAUGUACAUCCUUAUCUGUAACAUGUAUUCUAUUUCCCUUUCCUUAAGAUUGCUACAUAGACUCAAGCCAGCAUGCAGUCUUCUUCAGCAUCAAUUCAGUCCAAGUCUUCAGUGUAUGGUAACAAUGUAUCUAUUGCAUGUUAUUAAUAACCUUGAUUACAGUGCUAAUAAUAAACGGCUCAUUUUAUCACUAUUCAUCCCAUUACAUGUAAUAAAGCACUGUCCCAUUGAUCUUUACUUAUUCUAUUGUUUAAACAUUUUUCUCUUUUAUUUUUUACAGGGAUCAAGUUUAAAGUCGGUUGAGUGUGAGGUAGAGUGAGAGUUAAUAAUGUAUAAUUACGCAUGUUUAUAAUGUAUUUUAUGCAUGUACAAUAUAAUCCACACAUGUCCUUCCACCCCCCCCACCCCACCUCUAGUAGGUCUGACUGUUCUGGAUCUGGACUCGGGGAUCAAGUUUAAAGUUGGUUGAGUGUGAGGUAGAGUGAGAGUUAAUAAUGUAUAAUUACGCAUGCUUAUAAUGUAUUUUAUGCAUGUACAAUAUAAUCCACAUAUUCUGCUCUCUCCCUCCACCCCCCCUC
Molecule: long non-coding RNA, 1472 nt
Organism: Amphimedon queenslandica
Lineage: Eukaryota; Metazoa; Porifera; Demospongiae; Haplosclerida; Niphatidae
Exons: 3
Source: RefSeq, a predicted model, not a curated record